GACGAACGCUGGCGGUGUGCUUAACAUAUGCAAGUCGAACGGAAAGGCCCUGCUUUUGUGGGGUGCUCGGGUGGCGAACGCGUGCGUAACACGUGAGUAACCUGCCCUUGACUUUGGGGUAACUUCAGGAAACUGGGGCUAAUAUCGUACCGGAGCCCCCGUAGCAUGGUGGGGGUUGGAAAGUCUCGGCGGUCGUGGAUGGACGCGCGGCUUAUCAGCUAGUUGGUGGGGGAGUGGCUUACCAAGGCUUGGACGGGUAGCCGGCCUGGGAGGGUGACCGGCGACAUUGGGACUAAGGGACGGCCCAGACUCCUACGGUAGGCAGCAGUCGCGAAUAUUGCACAAUGGGCGGGAGCCUGAUGCAGCGACGCCGCGUGCGGGAUGACGGCCUUCGGGUAGUAAACCGCUUUCGCCUGUGACGCAGCGUGAGUGACGGUAAUGGAUAAAGAAGCACCGGCUAACUUCGUG
RNAcentral lists this ribosomal RNA (468 nucleotides) under uncultured bacterium. RNAcentral describes it as "partial 16S ribosomal RNA". It matches the Rfam family "Bacterial small subunit ribosomal RNA", at positions 28 to 507 of the family's 1533-position model. The record is from RNAcentral.